RNAcentral lists this ribosomal RNA (465 nucleotides) under uncultured bacterium. RNAcentral describes it as "bacterial SSU rRNA". It matches the Rfam family "Bacterial small subunit ribosomal RNA", at positions 338 to 795 of the family's 1533-position model. The record is from RNAcentral.
CCUACGGGUUGCAGCAGUAGGGAAUCUUCGGCAAUGGACGAAAGUCUGACCGAGCAACGCCGCGUGAGUGAAGAAGGUUUUCGGAUCGUAAAACUCUGUUGUUAGAGAAGAACAAGUAGGAGAGUAACUGCUCUUACCUUGACGGUAUCUAACCAGAAAGCCACGGCUAACUACGUGCCAGCAGCCGCGGUAAUACGUAGGUGGCAAGCGUUGUCCGGAUUUAUUGGGCGUAAAGCGAGCGCAGGCGGUUCCUUAAGUCUGAUGUGAAAGCCCACGGCUCAACCGUGGAGGGUCAUUGGAAACUGGGGGACUUGAGUGCAGAAGAGGAGAGCGGAAUUCCACGUGUAGCGGUGAAAUGCGUAGAGAUGUGGAGGAACACCAGUGGCGAAGGCGGCUUUCUGGUCUGUAACUGACGCUGAGGCGCGAAAGCGUGGGGAGCAAACAGGAUUAGAUACCCGGGUAGUC